UGGUUUGCUUACUGGCUUUGCUUACCGUCUAGAACAGCCUGUACCGAAUUUAAGGAACAAAAAGCCGCAGAACAUAACAGAGCUGUGCCUUGAGAAGAGGAAGUGGGCAGUUCUACGUAGGCUCAUGGAAGAAAGGAAAGGUCGGGCUUUCAGGGACCAUUGGAAAGGCUACUGCCUCACACGUCUGAGGUAGCAGGAUGGAUAUAAAAAGAAAGAAACAAGAGACAAAAAUGGAAGUAUAAUUAUGUAAAGAUGACAACAGGCCUAAUUUUGUGGUCUUUCCUCUACUGAUCUCCAGCAGGUAACAGGGCGAUUAGGAAGAUAAAAGGCAUCUGUAGCAAUCUUCAGAUGACCUUACACAGGCAUCCCGACAAUAUCCAGAGAAAGAAGGAACAUGUCUGACUGCUGGUUCCACUGAGCACACCAAGAGACAGCCAGUACACGGAAGAAGCCAGUAAAUUUACUGGCCAAACUUUCAUCAAUGAUAAAAUGCGAUUAAUAGAAUAAAAAGAGCAUGGAAAUAAA
Neofelis nebulosa (Clouded leopard) is the source of this 525-nucleotide long non-coding RNA. RefSeq lists it as uncharacterized. NCBI's taxonomy places the organism in Eukaryota, Metazoa, Chordata, Mammalia, Carnivora, Felidae. The record is from RefSeq and is a predicted model, not a curated record. The transcript has 2 exons.